Non-coding RNA from Pelobates cultripes (western spadefoot toad), 213 nucleotides. The record is from the annotation of a GenBank genome assembly. Lineage: Eukaryota; Metazoa; Chordata; Amphibia; Anura; Pelobatidae.
AGCAAACAAGGUUCUCCCCGUAAAAAGGAAAGAGAUAGGGAGAAGAAAAAGAAGGAAUGUCUACAGUGCUCGACUGCCAUGAGGAAUUGAUUCCUGUGCGUCUUCCCAAAACGUAGACUAGUCACGGGAUCCGCCCACCCGAGAUGGUGGCCACGGAUCUGUACGGGCGAGCGUGGGUGACUAACACAGCUCUGGGCAACAAGUACAGGAGAG